This is a non-coding RNA of Mesocricetus auratus (golden hamster), 65 nucleotides long. The record is from Rfam. NCBI's taxonomy places the organism in Eukaryota, Metazoa, Chordata, Mammalia, Rodentia, Cricetidae.
UUUCCAGUCAGCCUCUGGCCUAAAAUCCAGCACUUAGCUGGAUUUAGGCCAAGCUUGACUGAAAA